This is a non-coding RNA of Collariella sp. IMI 366227, 105 nucleotides long. The record is from the annotation of a GenBank genome assembly. NCBI's taxonomy places the organism in Eukaryota, Fungi, Ascomycota, Sordariomycetes, Sordariales, Chaetomiaceae.
GCCCGGCUGGCGCAAUCGGUAGCGCGUAAGACUUCUAUUUAAUCCUAACUCUUGCAGUUGGUCGAUGCCAUCUUAAGGCUGUGGGUUCGAGUCCCACGUCGGGUG